Molecule: long non-coding RNA, 316 nt
Filed under: Anas platyrhynchos platyrhynchos (common mallard)
Lineage: Eukaryota; Metazoa; Chordata; Aves; Anseriformes; Anatidae
Description: lncRNA (ENSAPLG00000023855.1)
Source: RNAcentral
AUGAAGGAGUAUUUGGAGUAUUUGUCCAGCUCAUCUCUACCUACUCUACAGUGUGAGCACUUGUCACUUGUGUACUGCAGAAAUGAAAGAAACUGGACAAAAUCUUUUACAGGAAAUGACACUUCAUAUUUUCCCCCUAGAGAUUCAAAACACAAUUUGGGGGUAAACGGAGUUCGAAUAAAUGAAAAAAGAUGCCAAAUGAUCAAGGCUUCUGGACCAAAGGAAUGUACAACAAUGCAACUUACCAGCUACAUAUAAAGCUUCAGGAAAUGACUCACUACUGGCAGCAAUAAAAAUUCCAGGGAAUAGGAGGCCA